RNAcentral lists this ribosomal RNA (253 nucleotides) under uncultured bacterium. Its description in RNAcentral is "partial 16S ribosomal RNA". It matches the Rfam family "Bacterial small subunit ribosomal RNA", at positions 524 to 776 of the family's 1533-position model. The record is from RNAcentral.
UACGUAGGGGGCAAGCGUUGUCCGGAAUCAUUGGGCGUAAAGAGCGUGUAGGCGGCCCGGUAAGUCCGCUGUGAAAGUCCAGGGCUCAACCCCGGGAGGCGGGUGGAUACUGUCUAGCUCGAGUCCGGAAGAGGAGUGUGGAAUUCCUGGUGUAGCGGUGAAAUGCGCAGAUAUCAGGAGGAACACCAAUGGCGAAGGCAGCACUCUGGGACGUGACUGACGCUGAGACGCGAAAGCGUGGGGAGCAAACAGG